CGGGUACUGCACGGCGCGUUAGCCGCCACAAUCCCUGGGGCCAAUACCGAUCGCCCGGGAGCUGUCACUGCCGGAGCCGUGGUUUCGGACAUACGGCGCCCACCUGCUUAGGCAGGCCACAGCGGACCGGCGCGGCGACGGCCGUUGCGGUCCCGUC
RNAcentral lists this non-coding RNA (157 nucleotides) under Rhodospirillaceae bacterium. RNAcentral describes it as "6S RNA". It matches the Rfam family "6S / SsrS RNA". Rfam says of the family: E. coli 6S RNA was the first non coding RNA to be sequenced, but its function was unknown until recently. It consists of 184 nucleotides that fold into an extended hairpin structure with a large single-stranded internal bulge. RNAcentral also lists the same sequence under 1 other name. Lineage: Bacteria; Pseudomonadati; Pseudomonadota; Alphaproteobacteria; Rhodospirillales; Rhodospirillaceae. The record is from RNAcentral.